Molecule: long non-coding RNA, 435 nt
Organism: Macadamia integrifolia
Lineage: Eukaryota; Viridiplantae; Streptophyta; Magnoliopsida; Proteales; Proteaceae
Exons: 3
Source: RefSeq, a predicted model, not a curated record
AGGAGAAGAGAAAGGAGAAAGGAGAAAAAGAAGAAGAAGAAGGAGGAAGCAUGCGAGAAGAAGGAGGUUGGAGCAAGAGAGGGAUCAUCUUCACUCACCCCACAUUAAGAGCCGUCAAGUGAUAAGGAAACUCGACACGAGUUCAUCGGUUAUACGUAACUCAUAGGGACAAAAGAUGGUGAUUCAGGGCACCUUCCUGAAGCUGUUAUCGAGGAGGCUCUUUAUAGAGAUGAUCUAUGGGUUGAGGAGCUAGUUGCACAUUAAACAUGUUGUGUGUGUGAUAAUUGUGCCUUCGGGGCACCCUGAAGCUGAGUAUCUGUCUUCCCUUUUUUAUCUUUUGUAUACAUACCUGAUGUAAUCCUAGGGGUAUUAUUGUAAUUAUAUUUUGAUAGGAGAAAACAUCCUUUUAUUUAAAUAUGGUACAUAUCAAUAGAA